NGGUUGCUAACUCAAUGGUAGAGUACUCGGCUUUUAA
Molecule: transfer RNA, 37 nt
Filed under: Vitis amurensis
Lineage: Eukaryota; Viridiplantae; Streptophyta; Magnoliopsida; Vitales; Vitaceae
Description: partial tRNA-Lys
Source: RNAcentral